This 399-nucleotide RNase P RNA is filed under the name Pseudomonadota bacterium. Its description in RNAcentral is "Proteobacteria bacterium (human gut metagenome) RNase P RNA component class A". It matches the Rfam family "Bacterial RNase P class A". From Rfam's summary of the family: Ribonuclease P (RNase P) is a ubiquitous endoribonuclease, found in archaea, bacteria and eukarya as well as chloroplasts and mitochondria. Lineage: Bacteria; Pseudomonadati; Pseudomonadota. The record is from RNAcentral.
CAAGGCAGCCGGAUAGCCGCGUCAUGGCUUUGCCCAUGAUGAGGAAAGUCCGGGCUUCGGGAGAACAAGACACCAGAUAACGUCUGGCUGGAGCAAUCCAAGGGAAAGUGCCACAGAAACAUACCGCCGGGUUUUUCCCGGUAAGGCUGAAAAGGCGAGGUAAGAGCUCACCGCAGGUUUGGUAACAGGCCUGGCAAGGCAAACCCUGUCUGAUGCAAGACCAAGUUAGGGGAUUUCAGGUAUAAGGCCUUGUGCUUUAUAAACCGGAUUUUACGGAGCGUUCUCUCUCCACUCCAGAGGUAGGUCGCGACGAGCUGUUUAGCGAUAAGCAGCCCAGAUGAAUGGCUAUCGUUCCGCGCAAGCGGAAUACAGAACCCGGCUUAUAGGCUGCCUUAUUUU